AAGUCGUAACAAGGUUUUCGUAGGUGAACCUGCGUAAGGAUCAUUAACGAGCAAGCCAUUUUCUUGGCAAGCUUUUUGAACAAUGUUCAAGUCCCUGGGACCACUUGUUGGCUCAGGGCGGCUUCAUUUGAAGCGAUAACGGCUGCUUCUGGCUUGUCAACUGCAGUGAGUUGAAUUGGAGCGGUUGCGCUGUUAGUGUUCCAGUGUUCAAGGCUGGGUGCCCAUUCUUGGCUUUUUGCUGGGACUGUAUCAUCUGGAGAUGCAGUGGGCUGCAAAGUUGGCGUUCACUGGCGUUGACGC
This is an unclassified non-coding RNA of 300 nucleotides. The stretch from base 1 to 46 matches the Rfam family "Eukaryotic small subunit ribosomal RNA", at positions 1786 to 1831 of the family's 1831-position model.